GACGAAGGUGGCGAGCGUUGCUCGGAAUUACUGGGCUUAAAGAGGGCGUAGGCGGUUCGGUCGGUCGGGUGUGAAAGCCCUUGGCUCAACCAAGGAACGGCACCCGAUACUGCCGGGCUUGAGGUGCUUAGGGGCGACUGGAACUCUCGGUGGAGCGGUGAAAUGCGUAGAUAUCGAGAGGAACGCCAAUGGUGAAGACAGGUCGCUAGGAGCAUCCUGACGCUGAGGCCCGAAAGCCAGGGGAG
This 245-nucleotide ribosomal RNA is filed under the name uncultured bacterium. RNAcentral describes it as "partial 16S ribosomal RNA". It matches the Rfam family "Bacterial small subunit ribosomal RNA", at positions 524 to 768 of the family's 1533-position model. The record is from RNAcentral.